CCUACGGGCGGCAGCAGUGGGGAAUAUUGGGCAAUGGGCGCAAGCCUGACCCAGCAACGCCGCGUGAAGGAAGACGGCUUUCGGGUUUUAAACUUCUUUUCUUGGGGACGAAGAAAGUGACGGUACCCAAGGAAUAAGCCACGGCUAACUACGUGCCAGCAGCCGCGGUAAUACGUCGGUGGCAAGCGUUCUCCGGAUUUAUUGGGUGUAAAGGGCGUGUAGGCGGGAUUGCAAGUCAGAUGUGAAAACCACGGGCUCAACCUGUGUACUGCAUUUGACACUGGAGUUCUUGAGUGCUGGGGAGGCAAGCGGAAUUCCGUGUGGAGCGGUGAAAUGCGUAGAUAUACGGAGGAACACCAGUGGCGAAGGCAGAUUGCUGGACAGUAACUGACGCUGAGGCGCGAAAGCGUGGGGAGCAAACAGGAUUAGAUACCCCUGUAGUC
Molecule: ribosomal RNA, 443 nt
Filed under: uncultured bacterium
Lineage: Bacteria
Description: partial 16S ribosomal RNA
Rfam family: Bacterial small subunit ribosomal RNA
Source: RNAcentral